GAAAUAAAAAAACCGCCAUGUUUUGUGUUGGACAGUUUCUGAGAAGAAUCAGUAAUAUGUUUUACUACUAAAUAACUAUCAAAAAUAAUAGGCUAAUUGAGCGCCUGCGUUCUAGAAAUAAUGCACGGAGGUCUUUAAGACAAGAAACGUUUCAAUAGGCUAUUUCGUCAGUGUGAUCAGCUGCAAUUUCCUCCUGAAGUAAAAACUACGGCGAAAAAUGACGACAGAGACGAGUGAACAAACUCAAAAAUAUCUGGGUUUGACUUCGCCGGUCAGCACGUCCGAGCCGACAAAAGAAGACUCUCGAUUGACAGAAUCACUUGAAUUAGCACUACAUCCUCAUGGUGUAUUUGAAUCGGAAGACGAAAGUCAAAAACGAAUUAACGUACUGGACAAAAUAAAUAAGCUAGUAAAAGAAUGGAUUUAUGAAGUAUCACAGAGUAAGAAUAUGGAUGAACAUAUGAUAGAGCAGGUUGGUGGCCAAAUUUAUACUUUCGGCUCGUACCGACUGGGUGUCAACCAAAAAGGUGCUGAUAUUGAUACCUUGUGUGUGGCACCUCGUCACAUUGACAGAAACGAAUUUUUUACGACUUUUUACGAGAAACUUAAAAAGCUGUCAGAAGUUAAAGAGUUGCGUGCCGUUCCGGACGCCUAUGUUCCCGUUAUAAAGAUGACUUUCGAUGGCAUCGAAUUGGAUAUGCUCUUUGCAAGAUUGGCUCUUCAAGCCAUUACAAAGGAGCAGGACUUGUGCGAGUUGUCACUAUUAAAGAAUCUGGAUGAGAAAAGUGUUCGAAGCUUGAACGGUUGCCGGGUGACCGAUGAAAUUAUCAAGCUUGUACCACAGCAGGAAAGCUUCAGGCUAGCUUUGAGAGCUAUUAAAUUGUGGGCGAAGAAAAAGGGUAUCUAUAGUAAUGUUCUUGGAUUCCUUGGUGGGGUGUCUUGGGCUAUGUUGGUUGCUAGGGUUUGCCAACUCUAUCCAAACGCCGCCGCCGCUACAAUCGUCAAUAAAUUUUUUCUAGUCUAUGAUCAGUGGAAGUGGCCUCAGCCUGUGCUGCUAAAACAUCCAGAUAGUGAUGAAGCAGCAAAACAGGGCUUAAGCUUUCCUGAGUGGGAUCCGCGUGUGAAUCACAAAGAUCGAUUUCAUUUAAUGCCAAUAAUCACACCUGCCUAUCCGCAGCAAAAUUCCACUUUUAACGUUACCAAUUCAACUAGGAAUAUCAUGACAAUGGAAUUUAAGAGAGGAUUGGAGGUAACAAAUGCUAUAUUUGCUGGAAAAGACGACUGGGAGUCGCUCUUUAAACCAUCAGAUUUUUUUACACGCUAUAAGCAUUACAUUGUAGUCAUAGCCAAAGCUGCGACUGCAGACCAUCAACUAGAAUGGAAUGGUUUGGUUGAAUCAAAAAUUCGAUUCUUAGUUGCGAAUUUGGAAUCUAUUGAUCAUAUAAUUCUAGCUCACGUAUCAACUGAAUCAUUUUGCUCAAAGUCUGAAGAUGACGAGCAAACCAAAUGGUUUAUCGGUUUGGAAUUUGGCAGAACCGAUAAUGUCAAUAUAAAUUUAACAGAUCAAAUUCGCCAUUUUACUUCAGAUGUUUAUCACAAAGCUGUUAACAUUCAACUGUACAAAGAUGAUAUGGUAUUGGAUGUUUUACAUGUUAGAAAGAAGGAACUUAAGAAUUAUUUACCUCAAGAUGUAUACAAUAGAGUAGGAUUGAAGAAGAAAAGCUUCGUUAAACGAAACUCGUUGUCGAUGUCGCCAAAUAAUGACACUGGAGGUAACUCCCCUGAUGUUAACGGCCAUAAUGAGGUAAGAAAAUUAGAAAUAAUUUGCCUUUGGGUGGAAAUUAAUUUACAUCUAGGUGAUAAGAGAGAAAAAAAGAGGCGGCUAUUCGUCCGGUGAUUGUUCGCUCUAUGCGCGUUUUCGUCCCUCAAACGCGCGACGCGGCAUAUAUCAUCGAAAAAGCACGGAUUAGCGAGUGAUCUGAUUUUUAAAAUAGUGAGACGAUCCUCCCUAACAAAGCCUAUCUUUCCCCUCUAAAACUCGCUUCCUCCGUUUAAUAAUUUUUUGGUGAAUUUUAUCAUUUAGGAACCAACCACUUGCAGUCAAUUUAACUUUUACCUUUAAUACCUGUAAUUUAUCAAAAUAUAUUUAUGACAAUGAUCAGUUACUGGACAAAUAGUCGCAAAACAGUACACCAGCAUUAAACCUUUUCUUUCCAACUAACAAAUCUGCUUUCUCACAGACAAUUAAAAAUCUAAAUGAGUCGUUAGCACUUACGGCUAAACGACAGAGAAUUUCAGAUAGUCCGUCAUCGGACAAUUUAAGCUCAGUUGAGUUGAAGGUAGCAACGGCCACUUACAAAAAUCUCUUCAAAAACUUCAAGCUAACUAACUGAACUGCUUUCAGACUAACAAGAAUUUGAAUGAGUCGUCGGAAACUCGUAAACGACCAAGAACAUCUGAUAGUGUAUCCUCCGACAAUUCAAAUUCAAUUGAUUUUAAGACCAAUAAAAACUCGAGUGAUUCGUCGGUACCUCCCAAACGUGCCAGAUUGUCAGAUAGUCAAUCCUCCGACAAUUCACACAUUGUUGAUUUUAAGAACUCUGGCAGCGGACGUUCAGCCAACGAUUCGCCCAUUACAGUACGUAUUAAUAAUCAUAAUAGUUUUUUUAGAGCAAAGAAAAAUGGUUCAGUUGUCACCGAGUCUGAAUAUUUGCCACAGCAAACGCUUACCAUUUUGUAAAAUUAAACAUCCAUAUUUGUUGUUAGGUUUUGGGAAAAUCCACCCAAUCAGAUUCUCGUGACUCAAAUUAUCCGGACGUUUCGAACUCUGAACGGAUAUCUAGCGGUUCUCAAGUAGGUUAUCUGAAAUUAAGCUUUUCUUUCAUAGUGCAUAAUAGUUUGGAAAUAUCCACAUUGCUAAAAAUUGUAUAAUAUUAAUUGUAUUAUUAUCAAUUUUCAGGCUAAUUUGCCCGUAGUUGAGGCCCAAUAGACGGUCAUCCUGUAACUUUUUGGUUUAUGAAAUUUCCUCCUUCGUUAUUUAUUGGGGAUCAAAAGUUUGUCGGUGGUAUGAUUGAAAUAAAAAAAAAACAUUAAGAAAAAAAAAUUUUUCGUGUUCGGCUCGCUUUGGUGGGCUGUACACUAUUAUUUUAGCGAAACUACCCACAUAUGUUAAUAUUGAAGUGUGUGUAAGUUCUUUUCAAACAGCUUCAUUCCGUUUAUGCAUUUCGAGGAAAACGAAAAACAGAAUGCUAGCGCAGUUUUUGGUAGUGGUUGAAUGAGGGAUUGACGUUAAGUCUGUAUCAAUGUUGCCUAUAGUAUCAAAUUUUUGUACGAUUUUUGUGGUUUUUUUAAUAAUGUAAACUCAUAGCAAGUGAUUAUUCUAGCGCAAAAUGUCAUUAUUUUUAUUGGGGCGAUGAAGAUUCAACCGACUUUGUGUAAAGACCAUUUCGUUUCUUAUGUGCCUCUUAUAUUAUAGUUUUAGUAUGUUUUUGUACCAUAGUUAUGUAAAUAAAAGUUAAAGAGAUUUGGAUUUGCAGG
RNAcentral lists this unclassified non-coding RNA (3537 nucleotides) under Dimorphilus gyrociliatus. RNAcentral describes it as "poly(A) polymerase". The record is from RNAcentral. Lineage: Eukaryota; Metazoa; Annelida; Polychaeta; Dinophilidae.